AGCAGCCGCGGUAAUUCCAGCUCCAAUAGCGUAUAUUAAAGUUGUUGCAGUUAAAAGCUCGUAGUUGAAUUUCGGGAUCAAUAUGUCGGUCGUGCCUUCGGUACGUACUGGUAUCAUUGGUUUCUCCCUUCUGACAAAUCAUGAUGUCAUUAAUUUGGUGUUAUGGGGAGUUAGGACUGUUACUUUGAAAAAAUUAGAGUGUUUAAAGCAGGCAUUAGCUUGAAUACAUUAGCAUGGAAUAAUGAAAUAGGACGUUUGACCCUAUUUUGUUGGUUUCUAGGAUCGACGUAAUGAUUAAUAGGGAUAGUUGGGGGCAUUAGUAUUCAAUUGUCAGAGGUGAAAUUCUUGGAUUUAUUGAAGACUAACUACUGCGAAAGCAUUUGCCAAGGAUGUUUUCAUUAAUCAAGAACGAAAGUUAGGGGAUCGAAGACGAUCAGAUACCGUCGUAGUCUUAACCAUAAACUAUGCCGACUAGGGAUCGGAUGAUGUUAAUUUUUUAAUGACUCAUUCGGCGCCUUAC
Molecule: ribosomal RNA, 520 nt
Filed under: uncultured Glomus
Lineage: Eukaryota; Fungi; Glomeromycota; Glomeromycetes; Glomerales; Glomeraceae
Description: SSU rRNA
Rfam family: Eukaryotic small subunit ribosomal RNA
Source: RNAcentral